UCUUUUUUGAAAACCUUGACCCCUAGGGUAUGUCAGAUCCGUCACAAAUAUAGGGAGUCCACUGUUCACACGGACAGAGAUUUCUCUGUAUUUGCACGGCGUCGCACAAGUACAAGAUACAACUAUAACAUAUGAACAUCCACAUAUCAUUCACAUCCACAUUCAGUUCAUCACAAAUUUUCAUAAGUUCACAUCUAUCAGUUUAAAAUGUUUCCUACCCGAAAACUCGUUUUGAAAUACUAAUAACCAGGAAAAUCAGAAAACCCUUUUAAAACCAUUUCUCACACAGAAACGUUUUUCUUUUAAAAGCACGCUACCACGAGGGAUAGAAAAUAAUUUUCAUAAUCUCAUAUAAAAACCAUGCUUAC
RNAcentral lists this long non-coding RNA (368 nucleotides) under Ananas comosus (pineapple). Its description in RNAcentral is "long non-coding RNA (ACOM_LNC003579)". Lineage: Eukaryota; Viridiplantae; Streptophyta; Magnoliopsida; Poales; Bromeliaceae. The record is from RNAcentral.